GGCAUUUUGGCACGGGAGUAGCUUUGGGACAACCAGGACGUUACUUAUAGUAGCGUCCCUGUUCUGGAUGCCACUUAUACUGGCAUUUUUAUGUCAAUGCUCAUCAACGCAGAAUUUUCGCCUCUAGACGCUACUAAUACUAGCAUUUUGCUGUCCUCCCUUUUCAUGUCACCCACAUUUACACCGUUUUGAUAAAUAACUGAAACACAACACUUUUUCAGUAAUUUAUUUGGUAGAAUGCCUUGUAUGGUCAAUUCCCUUGUUAUUCAUUGUGCAAGAUUCUCUUGUUUAUUAACCAUCAGUGAUUUUCACACUUUUGGUCACUUUCUUUUCCUUUCUAUAUAACAAAACGAACACUAACACAAAACAACAUCUCUUACGAUUCUAUC
This 389-nucleotide unclassified non-coding RNA is filed under the name Hevea brasiliensis (rubber tree). Lineage: Eukaryota; Viridiplantae; Streptophyta; Magnoliopsida; Malpighiales; Euphorbiaceae. The record is from RNAcentral.